AUAUGUGGCUAAGUGUCUUAAAUGUCAUCUGGAUUUUAUGUGGAUAUGCAAAAUCUUGAAAUGAAAAGUGUAUUUAGGGCCUUAUUGCUAAUUUGUCAAAAUUGACUAUGGCUACUACAUUUGGUGCCUUAGUGGAACCUAGCAGUGAGUGCAGUACAUCUGUGGAAUAUAAGACUAUGACACCAGAAAUGCCACACAAUGCAAAAUACAUGUUAAUCUGUACAGCUAGUCU
This is a long non-coding RNA of Sander lucioperca (pikeperch), 232 nucleotides long. RefSeq lists it as uncharacterized. The record is from RefSeq and is a predicted model, not a curated record. The transcript is spliced from 3 exons. NCBI's taxonomy places the organism in Eukaryota, Metazoa, Chordata, Actinopteri, Perciformes, Percidae.